UAACUACUCCCUCCGUCCGGAGAAACUUGUCCCUCAAAUGAAUAUAUCUAGCACCAAGUUAGUGCUAGAUACAUUCAUUUAAGGAACAAGUUUGGGACAAGCUAUUUUGGAUGAAGGGAGUACCAA
Molecule: non-coding RNA, 126 nt
Organism: Triticum urartu
Lineage: Eukaryota; Viridiplantae; Streptophyta; Magnoliopsida; Poales; Poaceae
Source: Rfam